ACCUGGUUGAUUCUGCCAGUAGUCAUAUGCUUGUCUCAAAGAUUAAGCCAUGCAUGUCUAAGUAUAAGCAAUUACAAAGCGAAACUGCGAAUGGCUCAUUAUAUAAGUUAUCGUUUAUUUGAUAGUACCUUACUACAUGGAUAACCGUGGUAAUUCUAGAGC
This 162-nucleotide ribosomal RNA is filed under the name Verticillium dahliae. Its description in RNAcentral is "partial 18S ribosomal RNA". It matches the Rfam family "Eukaryotic small subunit ribosomal RNA", at positions 1 to 164 of the family's 1831-position model. The record is from RNAcentral. RNAcentral also lists the same sequence under 1 other name. Lineage: Eukaryota; Fungi; Ascomycota; Sordariomycetes; Glomerellales; Plectosphaerellaceae.